Molecule: non-coding RNA, 1349 nt
Organism: Gasterosteus aculeatus aculeatus (three-spined stickleback)
Lineage: Eukaryota; Metazoa; Chordata; Actinopteri; Perciformes; Gasterosteidae
Source: RefSeq, a predicted model, not a curated record
UUAUCUCCUCUCAUCUUAUCUCCUCAGCUCUCGGCGGCGGUGUGUGGGUUCAUGCUGAAGCUCUACGGAGGUCUGGAAGAUCCCGACUUCCUGCUGCAGCUUCACUCUGUGGGACUCCUGGUCCAGUUUGAGGGCCUGCUCAGCACCUAUGGUGAGGAGGUGGGCAUGCUGGAGGACAUGGAGGUGGCCGUGGCUGACCUCAGCGGCGUGGCGUUCACUGUCACCGAGGCUCGAGGUGAAGAACCGGAGGACCUGGUGCCGGCACUCAGAGGAGCAUGGGGCGGUUUGGUCGUCGAGGUCCCGUUGCCCCCGGAGACCUUCGGGUCGUUGCCAUGGGAGACCAGAGAGGGGCGUUUGAUUCGAGUUCACCCGGUUUUCUUCAACAUCGGGAUCAACCAGCAGCAGAGUCUGGCUGAGAGGUUCGGGGACAGCUCCCUGCAGGAGAAGGUGAACCAGCAGAGCUGUGAGCGUCUGCGGGCGUACUGCAACGCGCUGACGGACGCCACGCCUCGCACAGCAGGGAGCCGGUCCCUGGGGGACAUGUUGUCCUCUCUGGAGCACAGCCUGGACACCAAGAAGAGGAAGAACGUGGGGGUUCUUUGGGCCGCCGCGUCGGUGUGUCGCGAGGUGCACGGCGUGCGUCUGACCAGCUGUAAGAGCGCCAAGGACCGCACGGCCAUGUCAGUGACCCUGGAGCAGUGUGCGCUGCUGAGGGAGCGACACUCGCUCGGCCGGCAGCAGUUCGGCGUCGCACUCGACUGCAUGAGGAGGUCUCGCCGGUACUGGGGGCAGAUAUCCGGCUGUUACCCCCAGUCGGGGGACCACGGCUGUGGGAAGCGCCCCCCUGACCUCCGGGGCUCCCUGGUUCCGCGGUGCCUGUCGCCUGAGGCCCCCGGACGCCACCUGUACCCGGUGGUCUUCCUCCUGGUGUCCUCCCACCUGCUGGUCCUCUGGCUCAUCCUCAGCCUGGUGGUCCUGCUGGCCAGAGACCAGUAGGCCCGGGAGCGCCGGGAGCAUGGGUUUAUUUGUCCUCACGCAGAAACACGUACUUUUAUCAGAAAUCUUCUUCCAACCAUAUUUUCAGUAAGGGACGGGUGCAGGAUGGACAACGUGCAGAAGAACGUGGGCAGCAGGAAGUUUGCCUUCAGCGGCGUUCAGCUGCUCACUUUCCCCAGACUGUACCGACCUCCAGACGGCAGCUUCGGAUAAAACACCCAUGGUUGUUUUUAUUCUGUGUACAGAUUUGUUGUUGUUUUUUCAUAAGAUUGAUUGUUUCAUACUGUGAGUCUCAUUGUUUUAAUGGUAACGUGUUUGACUAAUAAAGAAAUACUUUAUUUAUUUCCAACAAA